UGUGACUGGCAAGACAAGACAGCAGAC
Molecule: non-coding RNA, 27 nt
Filed under: Rattus norvegicus (Norway rat)
Lineage: Eukaryota; Metazoa; Chordata; Mammalia; Rodentia; Muridae
Source: RNAcentral